AUGUGCGCCCGCUCGCGACGUCCACGUCGGACUAGCUACCAGACAAAAAAAUUCGUUUUGUUGAGAAGAAACAGAGAAAGAGAUUGGCCAGCUCCCAGCCCCCAGACCCCACAGGCAAGCGUCCUCUCUCUUCUCUAUCAUGAGCCCUCUCUUACCCCGCAAAUCCUCGCCGCCGCCGCCAUUCACGCCGGCCGAUUCCGGCGAGUUCCGACGGCGGGUGGUAGACUGACAACCUCCCCUUGCUCUCCUCCUUCCUCCCAUCCCUCCAGAUCUGGCCUCCCGCGCUCGCUGCCGAUCCUCAUUCAUGGCUAG
RNAcentral lists this ribosomal RNA (312 nucleotides) under Triticum aestivum (bread wheat). RNAcentral's name for it is "partial small subunit ribosomal RNA". Lineage: Eukaryota; Viridiplantae; Streptophyta; Magnoliopsida; Poales; Poaceae. The record is from RNAcentral.